RNAcentral lists this long non-coding RNA (1079 nucleotides) under Gossypium barbadense (sea-island cotton). RNAcentral describes it as "long non-coding RNA (GBAR_LNC012096)". The record is from RNAcentral. Lineage: Eukaryota; Viridiplantae; Streptophyta; Magnoliopsida; Malvales; Malvaceae.
GCAGUUUCCUCAGUGAAUGGCGGAAUUAUACCAGAAAAGACCACAGCAAGUGACAGAGCAAACAGAAUACAAGUUGAAAGGACAAUCGAUGUUUUUGCACCUAGCAAAGCAGUCAGACAACAUGAAGAGAAUAAACAAGCAUUUCAAAUACGUAAUGGAGUGACAAUAUAGGAGAAUAAUUUCAAAGAGAUGGUUAAUAAGCAAUAUGACAAUAAGGAGGAAAAGUAAUUGACUGUGGAAGUAAAAGUGACUGUCAAUCUCACAAAAUAUUUCCAAGGACAUAAAUGAAUACUCGAGAAGCCCUUAAAAUCAUUACUACACUGGUGAUGGCAUGUUAAUAGCUCACUUAAAAAAUUCAUUAACUUUGGAAGCAAAACUCACUACUCGUUAUUGCAUUCAUAAUAACACCCGCAUUUAAUCUAGGAACCUAAUAAUAAUAAUAAUAAUAAUAAUAAUAAUCAGCAGUAGCAUGAUUAGAUUAUCUUGCUCAGCCAUAAGUUCUUUGCUCUUCAAGAUCAUCAUGCUAUCAGCUGAUGGUCAAAAAACUUAAUUAUGUAUCAAUCAUCUAUACGUGAAGGGAUCUGACCGCAAGGGCAGUUUAAACAAACGAUUUAUUAUCAUCUUAUUACUCAACAGCCACUGAAAUUGGAAUUUUUCAGCAUGUUCCAGAAGUGGAAAGGUAAUGAAGUCUUGCUCAUGCUAUUUCAUACAACACUUUAAAUAACAUGUCAUGGAUUAAAUUCACAUUGGUUCAAACUUGAAAGUCAUCCUCUUUCUGCCUGGAAUAAAAAUACUUUGACCUUUAAAUUUGGGUAAUGACUAUUCUUAAUGGAAAAUGUAUUUGCAAAUUUACAGUUUCAAUAUUCAUUGAACAAUAAAAACCUAAGAUUGAUACCCUCAUUGUUGCUAACAAAAAUGUCAAUGCCAGGGGAAACCGUAGAAAGCAUUUUGUAAUAAUUAAACACCUGCAUUUAUUAUAAACAUAUACCUGAAAGAUGAAUAUAUGAAAGGAGAUACACCAGAGUUAGGCAUAUAACAACUGCAAUAAAAAGGGAAAGUCCCAGACUUGGCAACCACUC